GCUAAAACACACACUACGUACCAAUAUGCUAGUGCUAAUCUAAAAUGUCAGCUCUAUAUCUCUUGUGAAUGUGUGAUGCGUGCCUUAGGACCUCCUGUAGGUAUGCCCUAGUUAUGUGUGUGUUUUUCUUGGUGAGAAAGUUCUUGUUUUAGUCACAGAGGUAGAGCUGUCAUCUUCUUCAUCUACUAUCUCUACUAAAAAUGAAGCUUUGGGUGUCAGCAGUUGUCACUGAAUUUUUAGAUGACCAGCAAUAAAGUUUGCUGCUUAAUUUUGGACUGCCAAGUGUAAGUUUUCCAAGUGUGUGGGUGUAGCAAGUAACAUCUCUGAACCCUGAAAAAAAAUCAAAAUCGAAUCCAUUCUCUAUGUCCUCACAAUGCCUAUGAAUUUCACAUAGUGGUAGUUUAAGCACCACACACAUUGUCCAUGCAAAAAGAAGUGGAAUAAAACUAAAUCUAAACUGAACUUUACAAAAUUUUAAAAUCAGAACCUUUGUAUAGCUGACAAUGGAUCAUCGUACACAACAAGAUCUAGUAAGUAAUGCAACAACACACACGUACAUAAGAGUCAAAAAAUUGAUCAGAAGGCAUUACCUACAUGGAUAGACUAAGGUCUCUGUAGUGCAAGGAUUAGAAAAUACGAGCAACACGCCAAGGAC
Molecule: long non-coding RNA, 655 nt
Filed under: Hordeum vulgare
Lineage: Eukaryota; Viridiplantae; Streptophyta; Magnoliopsida; Poales; Poaceae
Description: long non-coding RNA (HVUL_LNC008387)
Source: RNAcentral